UCGUCAGCUCGUGUCGUGAGAUGUUGGUUAAGUCCCAUAACGAGCGCAACCCUUACCCUUAUUUGCCAGCGAUUCGGUCGGGAACUAUAAGGGACUGCCGGUGAUAAACCGGAGGAAGUGAGGACGACGUCAAGUCAUCAUGGCCCUUACCGUGUAGGGCUACACACGUGCUACAAUGGGGAGUACAGAUAGACCUAAAGCGCGAGCUGGUGCUAAUCUCAUAAAACUCUUCGUAGUCCGGAUUGCAGUCUGCAACUCGACUGCAUGAAGUCGGAAUCGCUAGUAAUCGCGAAUCAGCAUGUCGCGGUGAAUACGUUCUCGGGUCUUGUACACACCGCCCGUCACACCAUGGGAGUGUAUUGCACCAGAAGUGGGUAGUCUAACUUCGGGAGGGCGCUCACACGGUGUGGUCCAUGACUGGGGUG
RNAcentral lists this ribosomal RNA (425 nucleotides) under uncultured bacterium ECS34. RNAcentral's name for it is "bacterial SSU rRNA". It matches the Rfam family "Bacterial small subunit ribosomal RNA", at positions 1052 to 1482 of the family's 1533-position model. The record is from RNAcentral.